This 253-nucleotide ribosomal RNA is filed under the name uncultured bacterium. Its description in RNAcentral is "partial 16S ribosomal RNA". It matches the Rfam family "Bacterial small subunit ribosomal RNA", at positions 524 to 776 of the family's 1533-position model. The record is from RNAcentral.
UACAGAGGUCCCAAGCGUUGUUCGGAUUCACUGGGCGUAAAGGGUGCGCAGGCGGCCGUGUGUGUGAGGCGUGAAAGCCCGGGGCUUAACCCCGGAAUUGCACCUCAAACUACAUGGCUAGAGCAUUGGAGAGGGUAGCGGAAUUCACGGUGUAGCAGUGAAAUGCGUAGAUAUCGUGAGGAACACCAGAGGCGAAGGCGGCUACCUGGACAAUUGCUGACGCUCAGGCACGAAAGCGUGGGGAGCAAAAGGG